This 362-nucleotide ribosomal RNA is filed under the name uncultured Desulfobulbaceae bacterium. RNAcentral's name for it is "bacterial SSU rRNA". It matches the Rfam family "Bacterial small subunit ribosomal RNA", at positions 1016 to 1382 of the family's 1533-position model. The record is from RNAcentral. Lineage: Bacteria; Pseudomonadati; Thermodesulfobacteriota; Desulfobulbia; Desulfobulbales; Desulfobulbaceae.
GCCCGCAGGGAGCCGGAGACAGUGCUGCAUGGCUGUCGUCAGCUCGUGUCGUGAGAUGUUGGUUAAGUCCGCAACGAGCGCAACCUCGCCUUUAGUUGCCAGCAUUUAGUUGGGCACUCUAAAGGGACUGCCGGUGUUAAACCGGAGGAAGGUGGGGAUGACGUCAAGUCCUCAUGGCCUUUUAUGCCUAGGGCUACACACGUGCUACAAUGGGCGGUACAAAGGGUUGCAAUCCCGCGAGGGGGAGCCAAUCCCAAAAAGCCGUUCUCAGUUCGGAUUGGAGUCUGCAACUCGACUCCAUGAAGUUGGAAUCGCUAGUAAUCGUGGAUCAGCAUGCCACGGUGAAUACGUUCCCGGGCCUU